Molecule: small RNA, 82 nt
Filed under: Plasmodium praefalciparum (nom. ined.)
Lineage: Eukaryota; Apicomplexa; Aconoidasida; Haemosporida; Plasmodiidae
Description: Plasmodium sp. gorilla clade G1 small nucleolar RNA snoR01
Source: RNAcentral
UAUAAAAAAAAUAAUAAUAAAUAAAUAUGUACAUAAAUAUAUUAAAUAUUAUUGUUAAAAAGAAAAAUAAUAAAAUAAAUAU